This is a long non-coding RNA of Zalophus californianus (California sea lion), 365 nucleotides long. RefSeq lists it as uncharacterized. The transcript is spliced from 3 exons. The record is from RefSeq and is a predicted model, not a curated record. Lineage: Eukaryota; Metazoa; Chordata; Mammalia; Carnivora; Otariidae.
CCCAUCCUAUGCUUCUUCUCUACAACACUUCGAGCAAGCUCUGCCAGAUCCUAGAAUCUGGAAGAGCCUCUCCAGCUACUUGGCUGUGGCAAGCAUAUUGGCCAACUUUGUUCUCCUACUUGGGAUACUAACCCAGUUUACACCUGUUCAGAUACACCAUUGCCCGAAGAAGAGAAGCAAGGGAGUUUCUCUGCUGAACACAGAACAUGCCACAAAUAGAAAUGUCCUUAAAGGUCAACAAGCCACCUGAAACUAAUUUCCUGUCACCUGCGUGCGGUGGAUGAAUGCUAGCAAUGGCACUGGGGUGGGCACAGCCUUCUGCUCCCUCCCUAAUUCAUCAGAUGUGCCCCGGGUACUCCAGAGCC